GAUGAACGCUGGCGGCGUGCCUAAUACAUGCAAGUAGAACGCUGAAGAUUGGUGCUUGCUCNNNGCGGAUGAGUUGCGAACGGGUGAGUAACGCGUAGGUAACCUGCCUCGUAGCGGGGGAUAACUAUUGGAAACGAUAGCUAAUACCGCAUAACAGUCGAUAUCGCAUGAUAUUGAUUUGAAAGGUGCAAAUGCAUCACUACGAGAUGGACCUGCGUUGUAUUAGCUAGUUGGUGAGGUAACGGCUCACCAAGGCAACGAUACAUAGCCGACCUGAGAGGGUGAUCGGCCACACUGGGACUGAGACACGGCCCAGACUCCUACGGGAGGCAGCAGUAGGGAAUCUUCGGCAAUGGGGGCAACCCUGACCGAGCAACGCCGCGUGAGUGAAGAAGGUUUUCGGAUCGUAAAGCUCUGUUGUAAGAGAAGAACGAGUGUGAGAGUGGAAAGUUCACACUGUGACGGUAACUUACCAGAAAGGGACGGCUAACUACGUGCCAGCAGCCGCGGUAAUACGUAGGUCCCGAGCGUUAUCCGGAUUUAUUGGGCGUAAAGCGAGCGCAGGCGGUUAGAUAAGUCUGAAGUUAAAGGCUGUGGCUUAACCAUAGUUCGCUUUGGAAACUGUCUAACUUGAGUGCAGAAGGGGAGAGUGGAAUUCCAUGUGUAGCGGUGAAAUGCGUAGAUAUAUGGAGGAACACCGGUGGCGAAAGCGGCUCUCUGGUCUGUAACUGACGCUGAGGCUCGAAAGCGUGGGGAGCGAACAGG
This 765-nucleotide ribosomal RNA is filed under the name uncultured Streptococcus sp. RNAcentral's name for it is "bacterial SSU rRNA". It matches the Rfam family "Bacterial small subunit ribosomal RNA", at positions 28 to 776 of the family's 1533-position model. Lineage: Bacteria; Bacillati; Bacillota; Bacilli; Lactobacillales; Streptococcaceae. The record is from RNAcentral.